GAUGAACGCUGGCGGCGUGCUUAACACAUGCAAGUCGAGCGAACAAUGCGGGAGGGAGUCUUCGGACAAAGCCCCGCUGCGUGAGCGGCGGACGGGUGAGUAACACGUGGGCAACCUGCCCUAUGCACAGGGAUAACGCACCGAAAGGUGUGCUAAUACCGGAUAAAGCGAAGAGUCCGCAUGGACAUUUCGCCAAAGCUCUGGCGGCAUAGGAUGGGCCCGCGUCCCAUUAGCUAGUUGGUGAGGUAAUGGCUCACCAAGGCUGCGAUGGGUAGCCGACCUGAGAGGGUGAACGGCCACACUGGAACUGAGACACGGUCCAGACUCCUACGGGUGGCAG
RNAcentral lists this ribosomal RNA (340 nucleotides) under uncultured Bacillota bacterium. RNAcentral's name for it is "bacterial SSU rRNA". It matches the Rfam family "Bacterial small subunit ribosomal RNA", at positions 28 to 351 of the family's 1533-position model. Lineage: Bacteria; Bacillati; Bacillota. The record is from RNAcentral.